CUCUCAUUCCCCUCCACCGAAUCCCUAGCUCUCCUCCGACGAUGUGCGCUGCCGCCUCCCUCCGACGGACGCGCGUCACCACCUUCUCUCCCUCUCGCACGUGUCGCCUGCUCCAAAGAUUUCUUUACCGAGGUUGAGGAGGAGCAGGCGGAGCGCGGGCAGGGCGGGCUUCUCCAACUCGACAACGGCUGCAACGAACGCCGGCGCUCCUCGUCGCCCUCGACCUGCAAGGAGGAGCGCCCGUACUGGAGGCUGCCGUCCCCGACGGGCUCUCUUCGACGGAGCCCCCCUCCAUCUCGACGGCACCCGAGAGCGAGCCCGCACCCUACCCAGUCGACUACCACGCUCUACGCUCGACGGCAAGACCCACAAGAUGGGAGUAGGAUGCAUGUUGCGAAGGGAAGAACCGUGGGAUAUGGACGACGAAGCAGCUCGUGAAGAUGCGGCUGCUACGUCUGCACUGAUUAGUUGCAGAUGAGAAGGUGCUGCUAGGCGAGGAGUGCUCCGGGCAGCAAGGAGUGCCUGGACCAGCAGCGCCUCUAGGCGGCAAGGAGUGCCUAGGCCAGCGCGGCGAGGACGAGCGUCAGCAGCGGUGGCCUCCACCUGGGCGCCUGGCCAAGGAGGAGUGCCUGGGUGCGGCAAGCAGUGCCUAGGCAAUAGUGAGGCGCGAGUUGCUGGGCGAGGCACGAGGUGCUGCCGACGGCGAGGUUAAAAUUCAAAUUGAUCUGGGAGCUGGACAAUGGUGAGGGCAGAAUUGUAGUUUUACAGAGAUUUGGGAGCUGUCGGAAAUAUAAAAAUGUCUUAUAUUUUGUUAUAGAGGGAGUUGUAUGUAGAUUUUUCCUGUUAAAUUCUAAGGACGUUUACUCUCUGAGCUAAAAAUUUGCUGGAGUUGGGUCAUACACUCACCAUAUGAACAUAUAUCUUCAAGCUGAACCGCCUAAUUUAGUGAUUA
Molecule: long non-coding RNA, 952 nt
Organism: Aegilops tauschii subsp. strangulata
Lineage: Eukaryota; Viridiplantae; Streptophyta; Magnoliopsida; Poales; Poaceae
Source: RefSeq, a predicted model, not a curated record